This 554-nucleotide ribosomal RNA is filed under the name uncultured bacterium. RNAcentral describes it as "bacterial SSU rRNA". It matches the Rfam family "Bacterial small subunit ribosomal RNA", at positions 777 to 1347 of the family's 1533-position model. The record is from RNAcentral.
AAUAGAUACCCAGGUAGUCCUAGCCGUAAACUAUGCAAACUAGGUAUCAGAAGCAUCGACCCUUCUUGUACCGAAGCUAACGCGUUAAGUUUGCCGCCUGGGUAGUACGGUCGCAAGACUAAAACUCAAAGGAAUUGGCGGGGGUUCGCACAAGCGGUGGAACAUGUGGUUUAAUUCGACAAUAAGCGGAGCACCUUACCAAGGUUUGACAUCUACGGAAUCCCCUAGAAAUAGGGGAGUGCCUUCGGGAGCCGUAAGACAGGUGUUGCACGGUCGUCGUCGGCUCGUGCUGUGAAGUGUUCUGUUCAGUCAGGAAACGAGCGCAACCCUUAUCGUCUGUUGAAUUUCUCAGGCGAGACUGCCCCUGUAAAGGGGAGGAAGGUGGGGAUGACGUCAGAUCAGCGUGGCCCUUAUACCUUGGGCAACACACGUGUUACAAUGGCGAUUACAGCGGGUUGCAAUACCGUGAGGUGGAGCUAAUCCCUAAAAUCGUCCCAGUUCGGAUUGAAGUCUGAAACUCGACUUCAUGAAGCCGGAAUCGCUAGUAACCGCGU